RNAcentral lists this ribosomal RNA (340 nucleotides) under uncultured bacterium. RNAcentral describes it as "bacterial SSU rRNA". It matches the Rfam family "Bacterial small subunit ribosomal RNA", at positions 319 to 656 of the family's 1533-position model. The record is from RNAcentral.
CUGAGACACGGACCAGACUCCUACGGGAGGUAGCAGUGAGGAAUAUUGGACAAUGGGCGCAAGCCUGAUCCAGCCAUGCCGCGUGCAGGAUGACGGUCCUAUGGAUUGUAAACUGCUUUUGCACAGGAAGAAACAACGCUACGUGUAGCGUCUUGACGGUACUGUGAGAAUAAGGAUCGGCUAACUCCGUGCCAGCAGCCGCGGUAAUACGGAGGAUCCAAGCGUUAUCCGGAAUCAUUGGGUUUAAAGGGUCCGUAGGCGGUUUGGUAAGUCAGUGGUGAAAGCCCAUCGCUCAACGGUGGAACGGCCAUUGAAUCUGCCAGACUUGAAUUAUUAGGAA